UAGGGAAUCUUCGGCAAUGGACGGAAGUCUGACCGAGCAACGCCGCGUGAGUGAAGAAGGUUUUCGGAUCGUAAGGCUCUGUUGUAAGAGAAGAACGAGUGUGAGAGUGGAAAGUUCACACUGUGACGGUAUCUUACCAGAAAGGGACGGCUAACUACGUGCCAGCAGCCGCGGUAAUACGUAGGUCCCGAGCGUUAUCCGGAUUUAUUGGGCGUAAAGCGAGCGCAGGCGGUUAGAUAAGUCUGAAGUUAAAGGCUGUGGCUUAACCAUAGUACGCUUUGGAAACUGUUUAACUUGAGUGCAAGAGGGGAGAGUGGAAUUCCAUGUGUAGCGGUGAAAUGCGUAGAUAUAUGGAGGAACACCGGUGGCGAAAGCGGCUCUCUGGCUUGUAGCUGACGCUGAGGCUCGAAAGCGUGGGGAGCAAACAGGAUUAGAUACCCUGGUAGUCCACGCCGUAAACGAUGAGUGCUAGGUGUUAGACCCUUUCCGGGGUUUAGUGCCGUAGCUAACGCAUUAAGCACUCCGCCUGGGGAGUACGACCGCAAGGUUG
RNAcentral lists this ribosomal RNA (550 nucleotides) under uncultured bacterium. RNAcentral's name for it is "bacterial SSU rRNA". It matches the Rfam family "Bacterial small subunit ribosomal RNA", at positions 355 to 896 of the family's 1533-position model. The record is from RNAcentral.